AUACGGAGGGAGCUAGCGUUGUUCGGAAUUACUGGGCGUAAAGCGCGCGUAGGCGGCUGCUCAAGUCAGAGGUGAAAGCCCGGGGCUCAACCCCGGAACUGCCUUUGAAACUAGGUAGCUAGAAUCUUGGAGAGGUCAGUGGAAUCCCGAGUGUAGAGGUGAAAUUCGUAGAUAUUCGGAAGAACACCAGUGGCGAAGGCGACUGACUGGACAAGUAUUGACGCUGAGGUGCG
This 233-nucleotide ribosomal RNA is filed under the name uncultured bacterium. RNAcentral's name for it is "partial 16S ribosomal RNA". It matches the Rfam family "Bacterial small subunit ribosomal RNA", at positions 523 to 755 of the family's 1533-position model. The record is from RNAcentral.